UACAGGGGGUGCAAACGUUGCUCGGAAUCAUUGGGCGUAAAGCGCACGUAGGCGGUUCGUUAUGUCGGAUGUGAAAGCCCUUGGCUUAACCGAGGAAGUGCAUCCGAAACUGGCGAGCUAGAGUACGAAAGAGGAUCGCGGAAUUCCCGGUGUAGAGGUGAAAUUCGUAGAUAUCAGGAGGAACACCGGUGGCGAAGGCGGUUCUCUGGGAAUAUCCUGACGCUGAGGAGCGAAAGUGUGGGGAGCGAACAGG
This 253-nucleotide ribosomal RNA is filed under the name uncultured bacterium. Its description in RNAcentral is "partial 16S ribosomal RNA". It matches the Rfam family "Bacterial small subunit ribosomal RNA", at positions 524 to 776 of the family's 1533-position model. The record is from RNAcentral.